AACGUAGGACGCGAGCGUUAUCCGGAGUUACUGGGCGUAAAGCGCGGGCAGGCGGUUGGACAAGUGGGGUGUGAAAGCGCUGGGCUAAACCGAGCGAGGCCAUUCCAAACUGUUCAACUGGAGGGCAGUAGAGGUAGGUAGAAUUCCGGGUGGAGUGGUGAAAUGCGUAGAGAUCCGGAGGAAUACCAGAGGCGAAGGCGGCCUACUGGGCUGCACCUGACGCUGAGCCGCGAAAGCCAGGGGAGCGAACGGG
Molecule: ribosomal RNA, 253 nt
Filed under: uncultured bacterium
Lineage: Bacteria
Description: partial 16S ribosomal RNA
Rfam family: Bacterial small subunit ribosomal RNA
Source: RNAcentral